UUGAACUAUAUAUAAAAAGGAUAAGUUUCCAUUCUUUACCUUACCUUCAUUUGCUCAUCUUGUAGUGAUUUUUGAAGACAUAGUGCUUUUUACUUGAGAGGGAUUCUAGCAUUGCUUUGCUGCACCAUCUUCAGUGACACGAGGCACCAUCAAACUCUCCGGACAGGAGCUAGCUGAUGUAGAGAAAGUGCUGAGGGUGCCUAAAGAAGAUAGAUACUUGGGUAAGCUACGUCCCUUGUUUCGAAAGUACGGUUUCCAGCCCUUAGUUUCCGAGUGCCAGAGACGAGCGAUGGAGAAGGUGGGCAA
This is a non-coding RNA of Malus domestica (apple), 306 nucleotides long. The record is from RefSeq and is a predicted model, not a curated record. Lineage: Eukaryota; Viridiplantae; Streptophyta; Magnoliopsida; Rosales; Rosaceae.